UACGUAGGGGGCAAGCGUUGUCCGGAUUUAUUGGGCGUAAAGAGCGUGUAGGCGGCUUUACAGGUCCGUUGUGAAAACUCGAGGCUCAACCUCGAGACGUCGGUGGAAACCGUAAGGCUAGAGUCCGGAAGAGGAGAGUGGAAUUCCUGGUGUAGCGGUGAAAUGCGCAGAUAUCAGGAAGAACACCCGUGGCGAAGGCGGCUCCUCUGG
This 210-nucleotide ribosomal RNA is filed under the name uncultured bacterium. RNAcentral describes it as "partial 16S ribosomal RNA". It matches the Rfam family "Bacterial small subunit ribosomal RNA", at positions 524 to 732 of the family's 1533-position model. The record is from RNAcentral.